This 406-nucleotide ribosomal RNA is filed under the name uncultured bacterium. RNAcentral describes it as "partial 16S ribosomal RNA". It matches the Rfam family "Bacterial small subunit ribosomal RNA", at positions 30 to 526 of the family's 1533-position model. The record is from RNAcentral.
AUUGAACGCUGGCGGCAGGCCUAACACAUGCAAGUCGAACGAGAGGCGGACGGGUGAGUAAUGUCUGGGAAACUGCCCGAUGGAGGGGGUUAACUACUGGAAACAGUCGCUAAUACCGCAUACCAUCGUAUGUGCGCAGAUGGGAGUAGCUAGUAGGUGGGGUAACGGCUCACCUAGACGACGAUCCCGAGCUGGUCUGAGAGGCUGACCAGACACACUGGAACGGAUAAACGGUCCAGCAUCCUACGAGAGGUAGCAGUGGCGAAUAUUGCACAGUGGGCGCAAGCCUGAUUCAGCCAUGCCGCGUGUAUGACGAAGGCCUUCGGGUUGUAAAGUACUGUCAGCGAGGAGGCGUUACUCGCAGAAGAAGCACCGGCUAACUCCGUGCCAGCAGCCGCGGUAAUAC